UUGCGCUAUCAGAUGAGCCUAGGUCGGAUUAGCUAGUUGGUGAGGUAAUGGCUCACCAAGGCGACGAUCCGUAACUGGUCUGAGAGGAUGAUCAGUCACACUGGAACUGAGACACGGUCCAGACUCCUACGGGAGGCAGCAGUGGGGAAUAUUGGACAAUGGGCGAAAGCCUGAUCCAGCCAUGCCGCGUGUGUGAAGAAGGUCUUCGGAUUGUAAAGCACUUUAAGUUGGGAGGAAGGGUUGUAGAUUAAUACUCUGCAAUUUUGACGUUACCGACAGAAUAAGCACCGGCUAACUCUGUGCCAGCAGCCGCGGUAAUACAGAGGGUGCAAGCGUUAAUCGGAAUUACUGGGCGUAAAGCGCGCGUAGGUGGUUUGUUAAGUUGGAUGUGAAAUCCCCGGGCUCAACCUGGGAACUGCAUUCAAAACUGACUGACUAGAGUAUGGUAGAGGGUGGUGGAAUUUCCUGUGUAGCGGUGAAAUGCGUAGAUAUAGGAAGGAACACCAGUGGCGAAGGCGACCACCUGGACUAAUACUGACACUGA
RNAcentral lists this ribosomal RNA (544 nucleotides) under Pseudomonas libanensis. Its description in RNAcentral is "bacterial SSU rRNA". It matches the Rfam family "Bacterial small subunit ribosomal RNA", at positions 213 to 749 of the family's 1533-position model. Lineage: Bacteria; Pseudomonadati; Pseudomonadota; Gammaproteobacteria; Pseudomonadales; Pseudomonadaceae. The record is from RNAcentral.